GUCUAAGGCCAUACCAGCCCAAACAUGCCCGAUCUCAUCUGAUCUCGGAAGCAAAGCAGGGUCGGACCUGGUUAGUACUUGGAUGGAAGGAUAUAUCCCCAGGAAAGGAACUGCAGGGUCAUGGGUU
Ribosomal RNA from Erinaceus europaeus (western European hedgehog), 127 nucleotides. The record is from Ensembl. Lineage: Eukaryota; Metazoa; Chordata; Mammalia; Eulipotyphla; Erinaceidae.